GUCGAGCGGACAGAUGGGAGCUUGCUCCCUGAUGUUAGCGGCGGACGGGUGAGUAACACGUGGGUAACCUGCCUGUAAGACUGGGAUAACUCCGGGAAACCGGGGCUAAUACCGGAUGGUUGUUUGAACCGCAUGGUUCAAACAUAAAAGGUGGCUUCGGCUACCACUUACAGAUGGACCCGCGGCGCAUUAGCUAGUUGGUGAGGUAACGGCUCACCAAGGCAACGAUGCGUAGCCGACCUGAGAGGGUGAUCGGCCACACUGGGACUGAGACACGGCCCAGACUCCUACGGGAGGCAGCAGUAGGGAAUCUUCCGCAAUGGACGAAAGUCUGACGGAGCAACGCCGCGUGAGUGAUGAAGGUUUUCGGAUCGUAAAGCUCUGUUGUUAGGGAAGAACAAGUACCGUUCGAAUAGGGCGGUACCUUGACGGUACCUAACCAGAAAGCCACGGCUAACUACGUGCCAGCAGCCGCGGUAAUACGUAGGUGGCAAGCGUUGUCCGGAAUUAUUGGGCGUAAAGGGCUCGCAGGCGGUUUCUUAAGUCUGAUGUGAAAGCCCCCGGCUCAACCGGGGAGGGUCAUUGGAAACUGGGG
Molecule: ribosomal RNA, 595 nt
Filed under: Bacillus inaquosorum
Lineage: Bacteria; Bacillati; Bacillota; Bacilli; Caryophanales; Bacillaceae
Description: bacterial SSU rRNA
Rfam family: Bacterial small subunit ribosomal RNA
Source: RNAcentral